This 439-nucleotide ribosomal RNA is filed under the name uncultured bacterium. Its description in RNAcentral is "partial 16S ribosomal RNA". It matches the Rfam family "Bacterial small subunit ribosomal RNA", at positions 338 to 795 of the family's 1533-position model. The record is from RNAcentral.
CCUACGGGAGGCAGCAGUGGGGGAUAUUGCACAAUGGGGGGAACCCUGAUGCAGCGACGCCGCGUGGGUGAAGAAGCGCCUCGGCGCGUAAAGCCCUGUCAGUAGGGAAGAAAAUGACGGUACCUGAAGAAGAAGCCCCGGCUAACUACGUGCCAGCAGCCGCGGUAAUACGUAGGGGGCAAGCGUUAUCCGGAUUUACUGGGUGUAAAGGGGGCGCAGACGGCGAUGCAAGCCAGGAGUGAAAGCCCGGGCCCAACCCCGGGACUGCUCUUGGAACUGCGUGGCUGGAGUGCAGGAGGGGCAGGCGGAAUUCCUGGUGUAGCGGUGAAAUGCGUAGAUAUCAGGAGGAACACCGGUGGCGAAGGCGGCCUGCUGGACUGCAACUGACGUUGAGGCCCGAAAGCGUGGGGAGCAAACAGGAUUAGAUACCCCAGUAGUC